RNAcentral lists this ribosomal RNA (425 nucleotides) under uncultured bacterium. RNAcentral describes it as "bacterial SSU rRNA". It matches the Rfam family "Bacterial small subunit ribosomal RNA", at positions 354 to 796 of the family's 1533-position model. The record is from RNAcentral.
GUGGGGAAUAUUGGACAAUGGGCGCAAGCCUGAUCCAGCAAUGCCGCGUGGGUGAAGAAGGUCUUCGGAUCGUAAAGCCCUUUCGACAGGGACGAUGAUGACGGUACCUGUAGAAGAAGCCCCGGCUAACUUCGUGCCAGCAGCCGCGGUAAUACGAAGGGGGCUAGCGUUACUCGGAAUUACUGGGCGUAAAGGGCGCGUAGGCGGCUCUGUUAGUCAGGCGUGAAAUUCCUGGGCUUAACCUGGGGACUGCGCUUGAUACUGCAGGGCUUGAGGCCGAGAGAGGGUGGUGGAAUUCCCAGUGUAGAGGUGAAAUUCGUAGAUAUUGGGAAGAACACCGGUGGCGAAGGCGACCACCUGGCUCGGUUCUGACGCUGAGGCGCGACAGCGUGGGGAGCAAACAGGAUUAGAAACCCGAGUAGUCC